Molecule: ribosomal RNA, 497 nt
Filed under: uncultured bacterium
Lineage: Bacteria
Description: partial 16S ribosomal RNA
Rfam family: Bacterial small subunit ribosomal RNA
Source: RNAcentral
GAUGAACGCUGGCGGCGUGCCUAAUACAUGCAAGUCGAGCGAACAGACGAGGAGCUUGCUCCUCUGACGUUAGCGGCGGACGGGUGAGUAACACGUGGAUAACCUACCUAUAAGACUGGGAUAUCUUCGGGAAACCGGAGCUAAUACCGGAUAACAUGUUGAACCGCAUGGUUCAACAGUGAAAGACGGUCUUGCUGUCACUUAUAGAUGGAUCCGCGCCGCAUUAGCUAGUUGGUAAGGUAACGGCUUACCAAGGCAACGAUGCGUAGCCGACCUGAGAGGGUGAUCGGCCACACUGGAACUGAGACACGGUCCAGACUCCUACGGGAGGCAGCAGUAGGGAAUCUUCCGCAAUGGGCGAAAGCCUGACGGAGCAACGCCGCGUGAGUGAAGAAGGUCUUCGGAUCGUAAAACUCUGUUAUUAGGGAAGAACAAAUGUGUAAGUAACUAUGCACGUCUUGACGGUACCUAAUCAGAAAGCCACGGCUAACUACGUG